CCUACGGGGGGCUGCAGUGGGGAAUUUUGGACAAUGGGCGCAAGCCUGAUCCAGCCAUGCCGCGUGCGGGAAGAAGGCCUUCGGGUUGUAAACCGCUUUUGUCAGGGAAGAAACGGUUCGGGCUAAUACCUCUAACUAAUGACGGUACCUGAAGAAUAAGCACCGGCUAACUACGUGCCAGCAGCCGCGGUAAUACGUAGGGUGCAAGCGUUAAGCGGAAUUACUGGGCGUAGUUAGGCAGCAGGGGGGUGAAAUCCCCGGGCUCAACCUGGGAACUGCAUUUGUGACUGCAUGACUUGAGUACGGUAGAGGGGGAUGGAAUUCCGCGUGUAGCAGUGAAAUGCGUAGAUAUGCGGAGGAACACCGAUGGCGAAGGCAAUCCCCUGGACCUGUACUGACGCUCAUGCACGAAAGCGUGGGGAGCAAACAGGAUUAGAUACCCCAGUAGUC
Molecule: ribosomal RNA, 450 nt
Filed under: uncultured bacterium
Lineage: Bacteria
Description: partial 16S ribosomal RNA
Rfam family: Bacterial small subunit ribosomal RNA
Source: RNAcentral